Molecule: ribosomal RNA, 504 nt
Filed under: uncultured bacterium
Lineage: Bacteria
Description: partial 16S ribosomal RNA
Rfam family: Bacterial small subunit ribosomal RNA
Source: RNAcentral
AUUGAACGCUGACGGCAGGCCUAACACAUGCAAGUCGGACGGUAGCACAGAGAGCUCGCUCUUGGGUGACGAGUGGCGGACGGGUGAGUAAUGUCUGGGGAUCUGCCCGAUAGAGGGGGAUAACCACUGGAGACGGUGGCUAAUACCGCAUAACGUCGCAAGACCAAAGAGGGGGACCUUCGGGCCUCUCACUAUCGGAUGAACCCAGAUGGGAUUAGCUAGUAGGCGGGGUAAUGGCCCACCUAGGCGACGAUCCCUAGCUGGUCUGAGAGGAUGGCCAUCCACACGGGAACUGAGACACGGUCCAGACUCCUACGGGAGGCAGCAAUGGGGAAUAUUGCACAAUGGGCGCAAGCCUGAUGCAGCCAUGCCGCGUGUAUGAAGAAGGCCUUCGGGUUGUAAAGUACUUUCAGCGGGGAGGAAGGCGGUGCGGUUAAUAACCGUACCGAUUGACGUUACCCGCAGAAGAAGCACCGGCUAACUCCGUGCCAGCCGCCGCUGUAA